AUACAAUGUAUAUUUCCUUCUCUUCCCACCUAGUUUGGAUCUCAUUAUUACCAAAAAGGAAACAUUGGUUGCUGAGGCAGAAAAGAAAGCAAGCUUGGAAAGAAGCAACUGCUAACAUGUUCCAACUAAAGUGAGGAGCAUAGAUUUAGAGCUGGAAGGGACCUUGGAGGGCAUGGAGCCCAAUCCAACCACUUCACAUGGGAGAAAAUGGAAACUCAUCAAGAGGCAGCCCUCCCUCUAUGAGGAGCGAUGGAUUUACCCUGUUGCCUGGAGACUGGACUCAAACAGAGACCCAGAGAGAGCACCCAGGGUGUUGGCUCAGGAGGGGUUAAGAACGAGUCCUGGAGUGGAUAACUCCCGGAGCGGAUAAUGGAGCAGAGUAACCCCAGCAAAGUGAAGCCUCAGCUUGAGCUGGAGGAGACGACAGGAAGAAGGCAACGUCUGCGGACCCCCAUCCCCAGGCAGGAUUUACCUCCCGCCGCAGUGCUCAGGCUGCCUCCUGCUGGAUUAAUAUUUCUCAACAUAUAAUUAAAUAUUGUUUUUGUGAUUAAUCACUAUGUUUAAAUUAUGUUUGAUUU
This 578-nucleotide long non-coding RNA is filed under the name Monodelphis domestica (gray short-tailed opossum). RNAcentral's name for it is "lncRNA (ENSMODG00000050924.1)". Lineage: Eukaryota; Metazoa; Chordata; Mammalia; Didelphimorphia; Didelphidae. The record is from RNAcentral.